GAUGAACGCUGGCGGCGUGCUUAACACAUGCAAGUCGAACGGAAAGGCGCUGCUUUUGUUGGGUGCUCGAGUGGCGAACGGGUGAGUAACACGUGAGUAACCUGCCCUUUACUUUGUGAUAACUCCAGGAAACUGGGGCUAAUACCGGAUAGGAGCUCCUGAUGCAUGGGGGGCGAUGGAAAGUUUCGGCUGUUCGGGCUGGACUCGCGGCUUCUCAGCUUGUUGGUGGAGUAGUGGCUUACCAAGGCUUCGACGGCUAGCCGGCCUGAGAGGGUGACCAGCCACAUGAGGCCUGCGGUAGGGACCAGUAGCGUACGGGAGGCAGUGGGGGGAAGUAUUGCGCAACAGGGGGGAGUGAGUGACGGAGACCCUGGGUGCGGAAAGACGGCUUUCGGGGUAUGAACCGCUUUCGACUGUAACGAAGCGGGAGUGACGGUAACGGGUAAAGAAGCACCGGCUAACUACGUG
RNAcentral lists this ribosomal RNA (468 nucleotides) under uncultured bacterium. Its description in RNAcentral is "partial 16S ribosomal RNA". It matches the Rfam family "Bacterial small subunit ribosomal RNA", at positions 28 to 507 of the family's 1533-position model. The record is from RNAcentral.